Molecule: long non-coding RNA, 726 nt
Organism: Panicum virgatum (switchgrass)
Lineage: Eukaryota; Viridiplantae; Streptophyta; Magnoliopsida; Poales; Poaceae
Exons: 2
Source: RefSeq, a predicted model, not a curated record
UCCGUGUAUUUCUAUUUUCCGUUCGAUGUAUUAUGUAUAGCCGCCGCACGCGGACCCACAUCACCCAUCCCAUGUGAGGCUAGUCUGCGCUCCCUCUAGCAUGCAUCGGCAUCCAUUCUCUUUCUUCUAGCUCCGGCAUCCAACGUGCGACCGCCGGCGACCACUAACCGCCGACCGUCGGCGAUUUUUUUGAAGCUCCGGCAUCCAGAGUAUUUCUCUUCCCUCUUCAAUCUCUUGCCCUUCUACGAAGUUCUCGUGUGCCCUCCCGGCCCCUUCUGGAUCUUUUCAUCAGCUCGGAUCUACUGUUUUCCGUCUCCUUCGGGUCGCCAUGGUGUUACGAACGAGUUUACCGUCAAAGCUUCCAGCGGUGCCGCCGCACACUCGCGACUGUGACGACAUCGACGAGCGAGCCAGCCGCUACUCAGUGGUGAUUGCUCUUGUUUGAUUUCAUCCCCUUCCCCGCUGCACGCAAAUGGCAACAAACCAUAUACCAGGAAGGCAAGGACAGCACGCAGCCAAUCCAAAGAUUGUGUAGCCUAAUUCUCAUUAUCUCAGUGAUUCAUGAUGUGAUUGUCUGUUCAGCCAGUACAGUAACUGAUGCAGUGCAUCUAGGAGUAGUUGGUGAUAUGCUAGUCACUUAAAUUAUAGGCAUGCAGUAGACAUUCUUGAAUGGGUACUUGGAGAACUGCUGUUGUUAUUCUAAUUACAAGGGAGUUUUUUUUUUUA